RNAcentral lists this unclassified non-coding RNA (352 nucleotides) under uncultured Diversispora. RNAcentral's name for it is "SSU rRNA". It matches the Rfam family "Eukaryotic small subunit ribosomal RNA", at positions 569 to 928 of the family's 1831-position model. The record is from RNAcentral. Lineage: Eukaryota; Fungi; Glomeromycota; Glomeromycetes; Diversisporales; Diversisporaceae.
AGCAGCCGCGGUAAUUCCAGCUCCAAUAGCGUAUAUUAAAGUUGUUGCAGUUAAAAGCUCGUAGUUGAAUUUCGGGAUCAAUAUAUUGGUCGUGCCUUUGGUAUGCACUGGUAUUAUUGAUUUCUACCUUCUGACGAACCAUGAUGUCAUUAAUUUGGUGUCAUGGGGAAUCAGGACUGUUACUUUGAAAAAUUGAGUGUUUAAAGCAAGCACACGCUUGAAUACAUUAGCAUGGAAUAAUGAAAUAGGACGUUUGAUCUUAUUUUGUUGGUUUCUAGGAUCGACGUAAUGAUUAAUAGGGAUAGUUGGGGGCAUUAGUAUUCAAUUGUCAGAGGUGAAAUUCUUGGAUUUA